This is a non-coding RNA of Miniopterus natalensis, 5488 nucleotides long. The record is from RefSeq and is a predicted model, not a curated record. NCBI's taxonomy places the organism in Eukaryota, Metazoa, Chordata, Mammalia, Chiroptera, Miniopteridae.
GGGCGGGGGCCCGGGCGGGCCGCGCCUGGUCAUCGGCUCCUUACCAGCUCACCUCUCGCCGCACUUGUUUGGAGGAUUUAAAUGCCCUGUAUGCUCAAAAUUUGUACCCUCAGAUGAAAUGGAUUUACAUCUUGUGAUGUGUUUAACGAAGCCAAGAAUAACCUAUAAUGAGGAUGUCCUGAGUAAAGAUGCUGGGGAAUGUGCAAUAUGCCUGGAAGACUUGCAGCAGGGAGACACUAUAGCACGGCUGCCUUGUCUAUGCAUCUAUCAUAAAGGCUGCAUAGAUGAAUGGUUUGAAGUAAAUAGAUCUUGCCCUGAGCACCCUUCAGAUUAAGUAUCUGCUUCCUGUUUUAUAGGUUUUCUUCUCAAGAUGCUUGAAAAACCAAGAGGACUUGAGGACCUUUCUCUGGAAAAAUGAAAACAAAAAACGCAGGCAUACUCAGCCAAAAAUCUGAGUUCUGUGGGACUCAGUUGAUGCAGAGAUGGACAAUCAUAUAGGGAAAAAAAUCCUGCUGGAGGGAGGACAUUUGCCACAGAACUCAGUGUACCAAACAUGAUAUAAGGACUCACAGGGAUUUUGAAAAUGCUGCACAUCCCUAAUAGUCAUCUACAUAGGUAAUGCUGAUAAACAUUUUGUAUUCAGACGCCAAAGUUAACUGAUUUAAAAGUUGAUUUACUUUUUAUUAAGUUCUCUAGAGCUGCACAACUAGUGUUUUGAUUUGUUGUGUUUUUUAGUUUGGGGUCUCUUCAUUUUCCCCAACAUGAUGUUCUGCAUUCGUCUAGUUUUAAAUUGAAGACCACAUAAUUCUCUUCCUAUAAAUUAAAGUCUUAAAUGUGAAACCAAGAAAUGUAAUCAAGCAGUGAAACAUUCUCUGAAUGUAGACCAUGAUCUCAACUACUAUUAUUUUUUCUCCCAAGAGAGUGGAGAAUAGACUUCUACAUAGGAAAGCUGAAAUACGUUAACAUGUUAAAUUAAAAUUUAAUAUUAUCAGAAUGCAGUCCAAAGAGUAAAUCAGGUUACAUAAUUACAUUUUAAUGAAUUAAAUAUCGGAUUGUCUACUGAAUUGCAAUUUCUUAAGUAUAUUGUUUCCUCUGAAAUAAAACUGCUCCACAGCUAAUCAGCAGUGAAUCAUCUUGCAGCUAUGCAAUUUCAAAAAAAUACAAAUUACCAGUUUUAAGUGCUGCCAGCUACAGUAACUUUGUUUUAACGGGUAUUUUUGUUUGUUCUUUUCAUGUAAUUAUUUUAUUGUGCUUUGCAUCUCCAGGCAGUUUUCCCACUUUUGGGUAAAAUGCUUUAGCAGGUUGUAAGCUUAAUAACUUAUGAAAAGAGUAAAAUAAAAUUUUCUUGAGUGGAACCUGGAAUAAUUUGAGGGACUUUUAUAUACUUUUAAAAAUCAGAAUUCAAUUAGGAUGCCAGAUUUAUAGCAAUUUGCAUCUUUAAUUUUCCAGAUAACCUGGAAGUUAGUGUUUGAUAAAUGAUUUUUUAAAGCAAAUAUGAAGAUUUUGUUAAUUUAUAAUUUAUUAAUGUGUUAUUACUGUAAUUGAAAAUGUUAUAGAACUUUUAAAUUCAGUCUGUGUAGAAAGAAAUGUAUUAAGCAAAAUUAUAUGAAUAAAUAUUCCCACAAAAUACAUCUGAAUGGUUAAAAAAUACUGGAAGCCUAUUAGGGCUACAAUAUGAAAUGUCCUCCCUUUUUUUAAAUAUUGGAAAUACCAGUAGAUAGAUUCCCAUUUUCGACAUGGGGAAAAUGUUCCCGGUGAGCUGGAGCAGCGCACGGUGCCUGGCUGUUGAAAGUGGCGCAGCACUGUUCCCUUGUCUUAGCCUCUCGUGUGUGUACACGUUUGCUUUCUGUUGAAUGCUGCUCCUCUUUAUUUGCCUCAGUUUUUUUCUCUACCCUGUUGCUUCUCUUCCUUUUUUUCUUUUGUUUCUUUUUUUUAAGGGCAUGUACAGGAGCAGCUUCUGCUACCCGGAAAAAUUGGUAUAUUUUAAACAAUUGAAAGAGUUUUAAUUGCUCUCUGUGUGAUUCUAGACCGAAAAACAUUUUCCCCUAAGUUAUGCUAUGAAAUGCCUUUUGUUAUGCUGCAUUUGAUAAAAGAACCCCAAACCUCCAGUGUGACAGCUGACACCACAGUUUUCAUAGGUGCUUUUUUAACCAGUUUUAGAAAAUAUUUUUCCUUCAAGGAAAAUAUUCUUUCCUUAAAUUUUUUCUGUUAUCAUGAAGUCUUAAUAUGAAUCCAUUUUAUUUCACAUUUUCAAUUUUGUAAGCUCUCACACAUACACAUACACACACAAACACACCCACUGCAGGAAAAACCUCUUAGAAUGUGAAUAAUUCAUUUUUUCUACUACUAGUAUAAUGUUAUUUUGUCGACUUUCAUUCUUAAAGGAAAGAUUUACUCUGGCUGUGGUAGUUCACUGGAAGUUGGUUUCUGAUACGAUUUACUCGUUGACUUUUAGAAUGUAUCGCAUAGGUUCACAUCUCCGUUGUAUCCUGGACCACAUGUCAGCCUUGCUCUGUUUGUGGAGUCAAGUUCGGUGCUGCAGCUGCUGCAGGAGAAGCUCCUGUGCUUUAGAGGAAGCUCAGCGUCAGUGUCGAGUGCAACCUGAUCGUUACAUUUGUCUAAAACAGUAUUUAGUUAAUUUGUUUAUAGCAGUCCCUUUUUUAUUAAAAUUUACAGAAGUUACAUCUUUUACUUUAAAGUCAUUUUCCAUCAUCAAUGACUUCAUAAAAAGAGCUGAGAAACUGAAAAUGUUUUAAAAGCCCAGCUGCUCCAGUUUUUAUUCAAAGUCACUAUUCUGAAAAGUGUUAUAAGUAAUACUGUAAGUGAUAUCACGUAUAUUUGUAAACUUAUAUGCAGACACUGAAUAGUGUAAGUAGGACAUAAAUUCGUGUUAGAUAUUUAAAUAUGUACUUGAAAGUACUCUCAGUUGAAUAUUAAUGGAGGCAAAAUAAAGAUUGAAAGCCUAGGUCAUCAAGUUGUUAUAGUUUUCCAGAAUCUUUGUAAAUAAUUGUUUUCAAAUAAGAUCACACUUGCGAAUAUAGAAAGCAGUAUGUUCUGAAACUUACUUUGGUGCCACUCUUUUCUUCAUAACGGAUUUAUUGCCAAUUUUGGCUCUUUGUCUUACUUAGAUCUGGCUCCCCCCCUCCCCCCCCCAACAAUGUGUAGGAGAUAGCAAAAUUAUUGUCUUACUUUUGGGCCUUUGCCAGAGAUAUAGACUAAGUAAGUAAGCAUGUUAAUCUGUGUUUUUGAGAUCUGGUUAUAAAUCAGAUAUAGAUGGUGUUUUAAGAGCAGUGUUUAUGAUUGAAAUAUAAACAAUGGUUCCUAUAACUGAUUUUUUUGUGGUAGACGAAACAGCAUUUAAAAACUCAUAUGUUAUUGACUGUUGCAUACUAUAUAGGUUCUCUAUUUCUUUACUAUGUUAUACAACUAUUUCAGUUUUCACCCACUAAACAUUAAUAGAAUUUAGCCCCAUAGUGGCUGAGGGGCACCCUCAGCAUAUUUACAGUAUGUAUUCCCAAAAGAUUCAGUUUAAAUGAGUUAAUGAAAACGGCAGAUUCCAUUUCAAAGCUUUUUUACUUUCUAAAGUUGUGUAUAGUAAUGUGUAAAAGCAAUCAUUUAAAUUAACAUAAUUAUAACAAGAUGUAGGGAUCUUCCUUUAAAUGAAAAAGAUUGUAAAUUCAAUGUAAAUAUUACCUAAUUUUUUUUUUUUUACUAACUUGGAGAGUGGAAGAAGGGAAAUUUCCUGACAAUAAGCUAAAUUUGAAUAGAGCAUGAGCCUUUUAAAACUCAAGAAUAAUUGAAUUUACCAUCUGGUGACAUCCACACUAUGUAUUAGUGAUAAUAUUGAAGUCAUCUUACUCUUUUGCAGAGGAAGUCUCCAUGUAAAUUCGGUUAUUGGGAACUUUGCAAAACUACGUAGAGGUAAAUGUUGCUUAUUAAAUAUGAAUACUGUUUGUUAGUUACAGGAAGUCUUCUAGUUCAUUUGGGCUUUUUUUCUUGCAAUUUGAUUUAUCCUGAGGUGAGCUCGGUGCAUAUUGACAGUGGGUGGUGAAAUGUGAAGUGUCCCUUGUUCUUGUACAGAUAUUCUCUAAGUUAAAAAAAAAAAAAUUCUGGCAUGCUAGUCUUUUGUCCUUGGCCUGUCCCCUUUUUUGCUGAGGUCUGUAACUUCAAAUGUUUUCUUUGCUGUAUCGUGAAUAAUAGUAGUCAAUGAUCUGUUUCACUGACUACUUUUCAUCUCUACUGGUGCCUUUCCAUCUGAAACUAAAUUGCCACUUGGUUUUCUUUAGAGGAAGUGGCUGCUUGGUGUCUUCCUAGUAGUGAUUUUUAUUCAGGAAAAGCUGGUGAAACUCUUUUGUAAUGCUUUGCCCAGACAAUACUUUUUGAGUACCUGCCGUAUUCUGUGAAUGCUGUGCUUAAGGUAGGGAACUGAAUGUUCGUUCUUUUUAAAUCGCAGAAUUCCUGUGUUCAGUGGGGAAUAGAAUACCUGGUCUUUUAAGUCAGGUGAUUCUCUGGAAAGUAAAAGGCAUUGAAGAAAACCAGAUAUGUUAAUAUUGAUGAAAAUGCAGCAUUAGUAUACUUAAGGGAGUUGGUAUAUUUGGUAUAUUUUCAGAUAUUUAAACCAUCAUUAGUUUAGACCAGUGGCUAAUAAUAAGAUAGACUGUUGGUUGCUUGUUUAUAGAGAGGCAAAGAGCAACGUGGCCUAAACUCACAGCCUAGAAAAUACAUGAAAAAUUUUAAAGUGGUAUUGUACUCUGUAUUAACCAACAUUGUCCUCCUUAGCUCUGCCCUGGACUGUGGGGCACCUGUCAGGACCCCAACUCUUAGAGCCAGAGUGACUGGCUCCUUCGAUUACUCGUGCCUGCUCUUUUGAUUGGAUAUGCUGAGAUCGAUGGGUACUGAUGAUCUAUGCUUGUAAACUUAUAUUUCUGCGUCACCCUGUUACCAUUGAACCUGCGUUGUGAAAAGGUUUCAUUAUUAGUCAGUAGCAUUUUGAGCACCUGGGUGCAUGUGACACAGCAGGCUGUAUGGGGAGAUACAGAAGAGACUGGGGGAUUUUUUGGUGAUAUCAAUCUUUGUUAUUACAGCAGUCCAUUACAUUUUAUUUCUCUGCAAUGACUAUAUGAGUUUCAUUGUUUGAAAAUCAAGGUAAUAAUAGAUAUUUACCUCUGUUGCUUUGUUCGUGGUUUCCACAACUCUUCUGUAAUACCUUAGUUUCCUCCAUUAGAAAGUAUUUUUCUGUUAAAUAUGGUAUCAAAAGCAUCAAUCUCAAGAAAUAUAGAAAAUGUAUUCGGAACAACUUGUAUGUUCUUAACUACAGUGGAGCAAUUCAUUAUUGAUAUUUUUAAUAAAUAAAGCUUCCAAAUGAUCUUGCCAAAUUACCCUGUUAUUUAGAAGCAGAAUGUAAGAGAAUGCUUUCAAGGAAAUGCGUCAUUUCUACCCUUAUGUCUAGAAGUUGACGGCACAUUACAAUAAAACAGAAUUACCUGAA